RNAcentral lists this long non-coding RNA (1539 nucleotides) under Nicotiana benthamiana. RNAcentral describes it as "long non-coding RNA (NBEN_LNC017369)". Lineage: Eukaryota; Viridiplantae; Streptophyta; Magnoliopsida; Solanales; Solanaceae. The record is from RNAcentral.
GCUAUGUUCUUCGUCAUUUUUGCCUUCGAAUCAGAGCCAGAUGAUCUUCGAAUCCUUCUCGGUUAUGUGUUAUCGAUCCCAUUUGAAGCUUUUGCUGAAGUUUUUUUUAUGGUUUCCGGUGAGAGAUACUGUUCGUAGAUGUUUCAACGAAUGUUGAGCGGAUAAUCGGAAUUUUCCUGUUAUCCGAGGUCCGAUCCUGUAUCAGUGGGUGUUUUGGGUAAUUUUCCGGCAUCCCUGGCCUUAUUCCAACGAGUUCUUCAUAUUCUAAGGUUUUCCGAUUUUCGGACCUAGAGUUUUGAUGUUAUCUGAUGACUUUGUCUUCACUUGAUAGACGUUUUGGGUAAUUUCCGGCGUCUGUGACCUUAUUCUGGUGAGUUUCAGAACCUACGAUUUCCGGUGUUAGACCAAGGGUUUUAUCUGUCGAUUGAAGGCCGAUCUUCUCCGGUCGCGAAGAAGGAGGGUAACUCUGUUCUUACUCUGAGUAUUGUUUGUCUUGCAUGUGAAUUCUGAUUCUGUUGUACUUUGUUUACCGAGACUGUUUCCUUCUCAAAAUUGAUUUGCUGUUUAUGGCUUCUAAUAUGAAUGCUAGUACCUCCUCAGUAGACUCUACCAGUCCCCUUUUUUUGAGUAGUGUAUGCUUUGUAUGUGAAUUCUGGUUGCGUUACAUUUUGCUUACCAAAAUUGUUUCCUUUUCAAACUGGUUCGUUAAUCAUGGCUUCUAAUACGAAUGCUAGUACCUCCUUAGUGGACUCUACCAGCCCCCUUUUUGUUUACUCCUCUGAUGUUCCUCGGGUCUCUCCAUUUUGCUUACGAAAAUUGUUUCCUUUUCAAACUGGUUCGUUAAUCAUGGCUUCUAAUACGAAUGCUAGUACCUCCUCAGUGGACUCUACCAGCCCCCUUUUUGUUUACUCCUCUGGUGUUCCUCGGGUCUCUCUUGUGCCCACUCCCUUCUCGGGCAGUGGUUAUGGGGGUUGAAGGAGGAAAAUAAUUGUCGCGUUAUUUGCUAAAAACAAAAUUGGUUGUUGAUGGCACAUGUUCCUGGCCAGUCACUAAUGUGACUCAACAAAGAUUAUGGGACAGAUGCAAUAAUAUGGUGAUUUCCUGGUUAACUGCCUCCCUCUCCCCUCAAAUUGCUGAAAGUGUGCAGUAUUCUGAUACUCCACAGAGUAUAUGGUCCCAACUUCAGGCCAGAUAUGGCACUGCAAACAGGACAAAAAUUUUUGAAUUGAAAAGAGAGCUUUCUCACACCUCUCAAGGGUUCCUAGAUGUAGCUUCAUAUUUUAAUAAACUCAAAGGUCUGUGGGAUGAAUUAGAAUCAAUGUGUCAACAAGGGUAGGAGAACUGUUGCUGCUCAUCUUACUGCUGGUGUGGAUUUUCCUCCUUCUAAAGAACAUGUGGCUGUUCCCCAAGGGAAUCCUCCUCAAAACCAUCAAUCUGGUACAAACAUAGAUGGCCAGAGUUCUGUGAUACCAGGGUUGAGCAGACAACAGUAUGAUCAAUUGAUGAGCUUAUUACAACAGACCCAGUUAGGGGACUCCA